RNAcentral lists this ribosomal RNA (363 nucleotides) under uncultured bacterium. Its description in RNAcentral is "partial 16S ribosomal RNA". It matches the Rfam family "Bacterial small subunit ribosomal RNA", at positions 338 to 698 of the family's 1533-position model. The record is from RNAcentral.
CCUACGGGAGGCAGCAGUGAGGAAUAUUGGUCAAUGGCCGGAAGGCUGAACCAGCGAUGCCGCGUGAAGGUCAGUGCCCUAUGGGCGUUAAACUGCUGUUGUGCGGGAGCAAAAAUGGUCACGGGUGGCCAGACGAGAGUACCGUACGAAUAAGCAUCGGCUAACACCGUGCCAGCAGCAGCGGUAAUACGGGGGAUGCAAGCGUUAGCCGGAGUAGUUGGGUUUAAAGGGUGCGUAGGCUGUGAGGUAAGGCAGUGGUGAAAUGCCCCCGCUCACCGGGGUGAAGUGCCAUUGAUACUGCCUUGCUGGAAUGCGGAUGCCGUGAGAGGAAUGUGUGGUGUAGCGGUGAAAUGCAUAGAUAUC